Molecule: non-coding RNA, 281 nt
Organism: Pelobates cultripes (western spadefoot toad)
Lineage: Eukaryota; Metazoa; Chordata; Amphibia; Anura; Pelobatidae
Source: the annotation of a GenBank genome assembly
CUUCAAACAAUGCGAGUUGGACAGUUUGCCUCCUGUCACUGAUGGAGCAUUACUACCACCAUGCAAAAGAGCCACUAGCCGGGCAAAAUCAGCUAGAUUAUGGAAGAGUGCAAGAGUCCAGUUGGACUUGUCUUAACUCGGCAAAAUUGAGGAGGAGUUCCCUAGGUACCUCGUGGAUGACUUGGAAGGCUGGUCCAAACCGGAGUUCGAUGGUCCUGAUGGAAAGGCGAACAUCUGCUCUCAUGACAUGCUCCAGGUGGGAUUUCCAGGGGCUCAGUUAA